CAAUCUCUGAGUAGUGACGUAAAACUACGUCAACGUAUCAGGGUAUCAACGUCUCUCCCUUCCAGUUUCUUCAAAAUUCUUGUAAUUAGCUGCAGCAGGUCUUUUGCUGUUUCUUGUAUGAGUGGUGCUGUGUAUAAACAGCUGUAGUCGGCCAUAUUGCUUGUAUGAUUGGUGUCCUGCGUCAUACGUCUUUGUGUGCGUCAUUUGUACGACGUCAUUUUCAGGGACAAUAGACGUCACGAGAGGCAGUUCAACACGUCUACGUGAAGCUGCAAACAGAAGGUCGGUCUGUCGGAGGGAAAUCUGUCAACAACAAAAUAACAACAUUGUGGUUCUACCAACUGAUGGACGUGUCGUGUUGUCGACGUCAUCGUGCAGCUUCUUUGUGUGCUUUCUCCGGACUUACUCCCUUCUGACCGCUAACAUCAACUGUCUUUGCUCCACACCUCUGUGACUUCAGCUGGAGGUCAAAGGUCUCUGUUGCUCAUCUUAACUACAACUGAAGAUCAACAGUCUCCACUUUCUUCGCCUUCAUCUGCCGGGGCUCGUCAACGUGUUGUGUCGGUAAUUCGUCGUACGUGUGUUGGGACAAUUCAGUCACUGAGGUGAUGGCGCUCCUUCUUGGCCAGGAAACGAACCAACCAGCUGCAGACCGUAUACAGCAUCCCAUCUACGACUUUGUUAAACAUACAUUAAGCACGGAUAGUGACAUUAUAAAGACUGUACAUACAGCCAACAGAAAGUAAACCAUCCAGGCUUUACCUACACCAAUGACCAUGUAGAUACAGACCGCAGACUAAACACCAGACCACGUGACAGCUGAUGUUCCGCAGGUCACCAUGACCUCCCCGCACCGGAAGAUCAACAGCGAAAUCACAGACUACAGAUGUCGCCAUUUCCUGUUGGCCUUUAGCUGAAUCAUGGCCACGUCUACUUUGAUUCAUCGUCGCCUUCUGAUCUGAGACCACGAACACUGGGAAGCUGGACAGGACAGUAAUUCGUUUCCAGCGAAAACAAAAGCCGAGGGAGCUUUGGAGGUGACAGCGGAUACAACACGUGGAGCAGACAGACUCCACGAUAAUCUGGUCCUGAUGAGUGGUUAAUGUGUCAGAAGUCGUGCUUCCACAGCUUGGAUCCCAUUUCACUGCAAACCUUGGAUAAACCCCGGCUACACAGGAUGGCGAGGACAAAGCCCGAUGGAACAAUCUGGCAUCAAGUUACACAAUGAUGCCAUACAUCAAGUCGCACAGUGAUGUCCGUGUCAGAUAUUAAUUAAUACUGAUGAAGCCGAUUCAGUUUACACUUAUCAAUAUUAAUCAUAAAAUUACAAGAUGUUUGUGCUAGUU
Pomacea canaliculata is the source of this 1346-nucleotide long non-coding RNA. RefSeq lists it as uncharacterized. Lineage: Eukaryota; Metazoa; Mollusca; Gastropoda; Architaenioglossa; Ampullariidae. The transcript has 2 exons. The record is from RefSeq and is a predicted model, not a curated record.